Molecule: small RNA, 533 nt
Filed under: Pan troglodytes (chimpanzee)
Lineage: Eukaryota; Metazoa; Chordata; Mammalia; Primates; Hominidae
Description: retained intron
Source: RNAcentral
AUCUGACUAUCCUCUUUGCUUCCUACACCCUGCCCCUGCCCCCCUGCUUUCCUCAAUCCAAGAAAUUAAUUCAUCUUCCCUUUUCCAAUCCUGGAACCCCUCCUUCUUUCAGAUAACACAGCACGGAUUCUAACCAGGAGGUCUGGUUUCCGGCAGCAGGAGCAGAGUGUCUUUCACCUGCCUAUCCUGAUAGCAGAUAGCGGGCAGCCCGUGCUGAGCAGCACAGGCACACUGACCAUCCAAGUGUGCAGCUGUGACGACGACGGCCACGUCAUGUCCUGCAGCCCAGAGGCCUACAUGCUCCCAGUCAGUUUGAGCCGGGGCGCCCUCAUUGCCAUCCUCGCCUGCAUCUUUGUCCUCUUAGUGCUGGUGUUGCUCAUUUUGUCCAUGAGGCGGCACCGGAAACAACCAUACAUCAUCGACGACGAGGAAAACAUCCACGAGAACAUCGUCCGCUACGACGACGAGGGCGGCGGCGAGGAGGACACCGAGGCCUUCGACAUCGCGGCCAUGUGGAACCCCCGGGAGGCGCA